This 1979-nucleotide long non-coding RNA is filed under the name Daphnia pulex (common water flea). RNAcentral's name for it is "uncharacterized LOC124197008, transcript variant X2". The record is from RNAcentral. Lineage: Eukaryota; Metazoa; Arthropoda; Branchiopoda; Diplostraca; Daphniidae.
ACCGUUGCUAUGAUCUUACAUUAAAGACUUUUUUGAUAGACAUUUUCUGGAAUUUGUGAAAUAAGGAAAGUGUGACUUAAUUACAGUGUUUGAUUUGUUUUGUUCCCUUUCAAGAAGCAGCUGAUUACCAGUAACUCAGUGAGACAUGUCUCAACUUGGCUUGGACGUCUACUUCCUCAAAAGAUUACUAUUGAUGGUGAUGACCAUACACUGAGAAAAAUUGUGUAGGUUGGGUGAGAACGACACGUGUUGAAUCAUUAUCAAGCAGGUAGAAUAGCCGCAAGGCUUAAGAGGUGAGGGUGAUAAAAAAAUCGUAUAUAAAGGAGACGAAAAAGGCCAGAGACAUUAGUCGAGUGAACAACUCCGACACGGCAACAACUGCAGUGCACUAUUGCCUUGGUCACCAACUGCUUUCUUCAUCGUAUUGCCAGCUCGCAAUCAUGGUUUCUUGUUAUUUAUUGUGUCGUGCUACUGUUGGUUGUCGUAUCGUUCACUGGUCGACUGCUGCUGUGCUGAUGUCUCCUGGGUAUGGUGGAUACCAAAUCGCAACGCUGCCUCCUUACUAUUCAACAAAACCAUACGCAACAACCGGUUACUCCACAACCAAGGCUCCAGAACAUCACGCCGCAGCUUAUGAUGCUUACGGGCUACAUCACCAAAGAGCCUGCCGACUACACCGAGGCUUCCAAGUACUACACCACUAAGUCACCGGAGUACUACACGGCUACGUAUGCUGCCCUUGCCUACUGUACCGAGGCUUCUAGCUACCACUCCAUCCUAGCUACUACACUGAGGCUCCAGCUUUUUACAACAGCGGAGCGCGUAAGCCCUAUACUACAACCUACGCUGCCCCGAUCCACUACACCGACGCCCCGAAGUAUUACUCUGCGUAAAAGGAGUCGUCUAGAAAAAUGAAGUCGUUUAAAAGGAGAGAAAAGGUGAUAGAAAUUAGUUGAGUGAGGAUCUCCAACAUGGCAACAACUGCAGCGUAUAGUUCUCAACAACUGGAUUGUUCAUCUCAUCGUAUAACCUGUUCGCAAUCAUGUUUACUAUGGCGUGUUGCUGUUGGGUGUGUAAUCGUUGAUGGCUGGGUCGACGACUCGUGUACUGAUGUCUCCUUAGUAUGGCGGGUGCCAAACCGCAACGCCGCCGUCUUAUUACACAACCUACGCAACGACCAGUUACUUCACCACCAAGGCACCAGAAUAUUACACCACAACUUAUGAUGCCCCGAUCUGCACCACCAAGGUACCGGAGUACUACACGACUACGUAAGCUGCCCCGUCCUACUACACCGAGGCCCCGAGUACUACUGUUCCCAGCUACUACACCGAGGUUCCGGCUUAUUACUCCACUAAAGCUAGCGAAUACUACACCGAAGUGUCCAAGUACUACUCUGCACCGAGCUCCACCAUCACAACUGAGGAGGCGAAGUAUUACUACCCAACGGCUGCUCCUUCGUACUAAGUUGACCUGAAAAACUACACUGAUGCGAUAGCUUACUACACCAAAACCUACGCUACACCUAGAUACUGCACCACAGAAGUCGAAUAUUACACAACAACCAAUGCUGCCCAGUCUACUACACCGACGAACAUCAGUAUUACUCUUCUCUAAGCUACUACCGAACAGAAACUUCCGCUUACUACACCACCUAGGUCCCGGAGGUUUACACUUCAGCUUACGCAUCCCCAAGCUACUAUGCCGAGACUUCUAAGUACGUAUCCAAGGCAACCGAGUAUUACCACUGCUAACGCUGUUCCGACCUACUACACCGAAGUUCUGAAGUUUUACUCCACCAUGAGUUACUACACCACUGAGGCACCUGAAAAUUACACCACAACCUACGCUUCUCCAACUCACAACAGGGACGCUUCUAAAAAUUAGAGUCGAAUUUUCAGAUUUGUUGGUCAUAUCUUAAAAAUUACUAGUCACUAGGAAUUGUUGAUCUUUGAGAAAAUAAAUUUUUAUCAGGGUAA